GUUCCAUUAGCUCAGUUGGGAGAGCACUCGACUUUUAAUCGAGUUGUCAUGGGUUCAAGCCCCAUAUGGAGCA
Molecule: transfer RNA, 73 nt
Filed under: Lachnospiraceae bacterium
Lineage: Bacteria; Bacillati; Bacillota; Clostridia; Lachnospirales; Lachnospiraceae
Description: tRNA-Lys
Rfam family: tRNA
About the family: Transfer RNA (tRNA) molecules are approximately 80 nucleotides in length. Their secondary structure includes four short double-helical elements and three loops (D, anti-codon, and T loops).
Source: RNAcentral